AUUGAACGCUGGCGGCAGGCCUAACACAUGCAAGUCGAACGAGUGGCGGACGGGUGAGUAAUGUCUGGGAAACUGCCUGAGUGAGGGGGAUAACUACUGGAAACGGUAGCUAAUACCGCAUACCAUACGAUGUGCCCAGAUGGGAUUGGCUUGUUGGUGGGGGAACGGCUCACAAAGGCGACCAUCCCUAGCUGGUCUGAGAGGAGGACCAGCCCCACUGGAACUGAGACACGGUCCGGACUCCUACGGGAGGCAGCAGUGGGUAAUAUUGCACAAUGGGCGCAAGCCUGAUGCAGCCAUGCCGCGUGUAUGAAGAAGGCCUUCGGGUUGUAAAGUACUUUCAGCGGGGAGGCGUUACCCGCAGAAGAAGCACCGGCUAACUCCGUGCCAGCAGCCGCGGUAAUUC
Molecule: ribosomal RNA, 406 nt
Filed under: uncultured bacterium
Lineage: Bacteria
Description: partial 16S ribosomal RNA
Rfam family: Bacterial small subunit ribosomal RNA
Source: RNAcentral